UGAACUGGAGAGUUUGAUCCUGGCUCAGAUUGAACGCUGGCGGUAGGCCUAACACAUGCAAGUCGAACGGUAACGGACCGCUGGGAUUCCUUCGGGAUGGCCUUGGUGCCGACGAGUGGCGGACGGGUGAGUAACACGUAGGAAUCUGCCCAACAGAGGGGGACAACCCGGAGAAAUCCGGGCUAAUACCGCAUACGCCCUA
RNAcentral lists this ribosomal RNA (202 nucleotides) under Pseudomonadota bacterium. RNAcentral describes it as "Proteobacteria bacterium (marine metagenome) partial 16S ribosomal RNA". It matches the Rfam family "Bacterial small subunit ribosomal RNA", at positions 1 to 182 of the family's 1533-position model. Lineage: Bacteria; Pseudomonadati; Pseudomonadota. The record is from RNAcentral.